UAAGCAGUGAAGCCCAUGAGCCACUAGAAGCCACAUGUUCUGCCAUGUGGAGAAGAAUGAGAGAGUACAUCCUCAAAUUGAGGUGUGGCAUGAUGAUUUGGCUGCCCAGAGGAGAACCUGUCUUUCCCAUCUAAAGUGGGAGGUCAAGCCAAGUAGAGGUUAACAGCAUGUGAUCCUGAGAGGCGAUGGAAACAGUGAAUUGCCGGGCCAGGGCCAUCUCCGCCUGGCUGUGGAAGAGGAACGGGAUCCCUUCCUGGACUGCAUAAGCCCCAGGUUUGUUGGAAACCAAGAUCAAACAACUAAGAGAGUCAAAGCUGAGACUGUGCCCUUUUCACUCCACCAGACCAGCCACCUUUCAAGGGCCUGUGCCUGUGGUAACUGUCUAUGAGCCAGGUAUAUCUGAAGCAUAUUUGACAACAGAAAAAGUUAAUGUAAUUUUCAAAGGAAAAACGCCAACUUUUUUCAAAAAGGCUGGAUCCAGCUCUUCAUGAAUGUCCUCAAUGAGAAGGGGUCGGCCCAAGGAAAGGCUGUCCUCCAAGUGUGUGCGAAAAUAUUUAUGGUUCAGAGAUGUCACCUAAACAGAAAGAACUCAUUGGUCUAUCUGUGUUACAAAGAAUGUGCCCAUUGCUAAGGGAAACCGAGAGAUUUGUUGGACAGGUAAUCAAGAAUUUUAAGGGCAAUAGAAGAAGACUUACUUAAAAAAAUUAAAGUAACAUACAAAAAUUAAUUUCUAAAACUUGGUGAGUCAUGAUUUUGUUGAAUGGGGUCUAGAUGUGUAAUGGGGUCUCUAUGAUCAAAAGAGGAGGGUUAAGGGGCAUUGCUCAGAUGCAAUGUCAGAGUUCUGCUCCUGACAGAUGGAAGAGAAUAGUCAAGGAUUAAUCCUUUCAAACUUACAUAGCUAUAAUCGCUCAGAGAAAGCAAAGCAACUUGCAUAUCUGGAUAUUCAUUUAUUUUCUCAGGACCCCUACAAGAUGAGUAAGUGAUAAAAAGUAAACAUAAGAAUGUCAGAAAUGAUAUAUUGAGUCGCACUGAGGGUCUAUCCAUGUAUUCUGUCUCCUAUUGGCACUGGGAAGAAUUUAACACUUUCCGUAAAGUCAACCUAAAAGACUAGACAUUCACUUUAUAUAUGCUUACAUUUUUUUAAAACUGCAAUUCUGAAUUCCUGGUUGGGUCUUCGUGUUUAGAUUAAUGCGUUUGUUAUUAGUUAAAAUAGACACACUGUAGUGGUUCAUCUCUGCAUGAGCCAAUUGGAUUUGAACCCUUACUUCACCUAGGAUCCCUCCCCCUGCCUAACUGUGAAGAUUCCCAAAGGCUCAUUUCUCAACUUUUUGUAUCCUAUCUUCUGAAUUCAACUAAUGCCUUAGGCUAUUGUGGGUGCAGACCAUAAGAUGCAAGGAAGAAUCCACUGGGACAACAGGCGAUUAGGAGAAUGGAAUUAAAUAUGUAUCUCUCAAUUACUAUGAUAAAAAGAAGAUAUGAAAUAUAACAAUUAAAUCAGCCUACUUUUGUCCUGUUUUGAUUAAAAAGGAAAUAACUAAAAAAAAAUUCUGCACAUGAAGGAAGUUGUUUCCCUGGAUGAAUAGCUUUCUUUAUACAAAUAAUGUGCUGUAAAGACCUUCCUGUAAGUUAAUAAGGAAAAAGAA
Molecule: long non-coding RNA, 1643 nt
Filed under: Homo sapiens (human)
Lineage: Eukaryota; Metazoa; Chordata; Mammalia; Primates; Hominidae
Description: HSALNT0334121
Source: RNAcentral